UACGUAGGGGGCAAGCGUUAUCCGGAUUUACUGGGUGUAAAGGGGGCGCAGACGGCGAUGCAAGCCAGGAGUGAAAGCCCGGGGCCCAACCCCGGGACUGCUCUUGGAGCUGCGUGGCUGGAGUGCAGGAGGGGCAGGCGGAAUUCCUGGUGUAGCGGUGAAAUGCGUAGAUAUCAGGAGGAACACCGGUGGCGAAGGCAGCCUGCUGGACUGCAACUGACGUUGAGGCCCGAAAGCGUGGGGAGCAAACAGG
RNAcentral lists this ribosomal RNA (253 nucleotides) under uncultured bacterium. RNAcentral's name for it is "partial 16S ribosomal RNA". It matches the Rfam family "Bacterial small subunit ribosomal RNA", at positions 524 to 776 of the family's 1533-position model. The record is from RNAcentral.